CCCUGUACUUGUAAGUGAUUAUGGACUGCCUGUGUCCUGGUCAUUGGUAGUGCAGGCACAGGAAAUGUGGAAAGGGUUGGACCAUAUGCGGAAGAUCCAUGUCCUCCCCUUACAGUUCUGGGAGCCCUCCUCACC
This 135-nucleotide small nucleolar RNA is filed under the name Procavia capensis (Cape rock hyrax). RNAcentral describes it as "Small nucleolar RNA SNORA71 (ENSPCAG00000019492.1)". It matches the Rfam family "Small nucleolar RNA SNORA71". Rfam says of the family: The members of this family belong to the H/ACA class of snoRNAs which bind a number of proteins (including dyskerin, Gar1p and Nop10p) to form snoRNP complexes. This class of snoRNAs are thought to guide the sites of modification of uridines to pseudouridines by forming direct base pairing interactions with substrate RNAs. Lineage: Eukaryota; Metazoa; Chordata; Mammalia; Hyracoidea; Procaviidae. The record is from RNAcentral.